CUUCCGUUGAUUGACGUGCUUGCACUGAUUUCAACAUUGAAGCGAGUGGCGAACUGGUGAGUAACACGUGGGAAAUCUGCCCAGAAGCAGGGGAUAACACUUGGAAACAGGUGCUAAUACCGUAUAACAACAAGAACCGCAUGGUUCUUGUUUGAAAGGUGGCUUCGGCUAUCACUUCUGGAUGAUCCCGCGGCGUAUUAGUUAGUUGGUGGGGUAAUGGCUCACCAAGACGAUGAUACGUAGCCGACCUGAGAGGGUAAUCGGCCACAUUGGGACUGAGACACGGCCCAAACUCCUACGGGAGGCAGCAGUAGGGAAUCUUCCACAAUGGACGAAAGUCUGAUGGAGCAAUGCCGCGUGAGUGAAGAAGGGUUUC
This 376-nucleotide ribosomal RNA is filed under the name Levilactobacillus brevis. RNAcentral's name for it is "bacterial SSU rRNA". It matches the Rfam family "Bacterial small subunit ribosomal RNA", at positions 63 to 419 of the family's 1533-position model. The record is from RNAcentral. Lineage: Bacteria; Bacillati; Bacillota; Bacilli; Lactobacillales; Lactobacillaceae.